ACUGCGAGUGAAGAGGGAUUAGCCCAGCACCGAAGCCUGCGGUCAUUUGACUGCUAGGCAAUGUGGUGUUUAGGUUGGUUCUUGGCAUUACUGCUCCACCCUAAGUCCAGCAAUGAGUACGGCUUACUGGAUUGGCCCAUUGAGGGUGAAAGGCCCGUGUGGGUGGAGACUCAGAUUAUCAGUUUUGCCCUGAAUUAACCUUGGAGUCGGGUUGUUUGUGAAUGCAGCCCAAAGUGGGUGGUAAACUCCAUCUAAGGCUAAAUACUGGCACGAGUCCGAUAGCGAACAAGUACCGUGAGGGAAAGUUGAAAAGUACUUUGAAGAGAGAGUAAACAGUUCGUGAACCCGCUCAGAGGUAAACGGGUGGAGUUGAACUGGAAGCCCUGGGGAUUCAGCUGAUGAGUAUGGCAUGAGCUUGGGCAUAUUGGUCGGCUUUCAGAGUCCGCUUAGCUGCGGGUCCUUGCCCUAACGGGUUUGGAUGUGCGUUACGCUCAUUAGGCGUUGUGCGCUCUGUCUGUUCCGGGCCUGCUCGUCAGUGCACUUCCUCAGGGUGUUCACCACGACCGGCGCUGCUGUCUGUCUGUUACGGUCAAACCGGUUGGGCUUAGUCAUUUUGGCUAAGUUUGAUCGGGAUGGCAGGUAGCUCUUGAGAUUUUCUGGCUUCGGCUGGUAGAGCUCUUGAGUGUAAUUAGCCGACUGUAAUGGAUCUGUGCAGUGCGUCGGAGCUGGCGGCUUUGGUGUGUGUACGCGUGCUGUACCUUGCUGGCUUGGUCAAGUUUGGUUAAUGUGUUACCUGCUUCGGUGGGUCUAUUAAUGGCUUGACUUUGCGUAGUGAGUGGUGGCGCGUGCGACGCUAUCUAGGGCCAAAAGUCUGUGGUGUUGUGGUAAACUAUCCACCCGACCCGUCUUGAAACACGGACCAAGGAGUUUAACAUGUACGCGAGUCAUUGGGCGUUACGAAACCCAAAGGCGUAGUGAAAGUAAAGGUUCGGCUUGUCCGAGCUGAGGUGAGAUCCUGCUGUUUCUCUGCCUUGGACUACCAAGCAUUCGAGCAGUAGGCGCAUCACCGGCCCGUCUCAUGAUGUAGUCAUAUGACCUUUGGUUGUGUGCACCUUCGGGGCGGAGCUAGAGCGUACACGUUGAGACCCGAAAGAUGGUGAACUAUGCCUGCGGAGGUUGAAGCCAGAGGAAACUCUGGUGGAGGACCGCAGCGAUUCUGACGCGCAAAUCGAUCGUCUAACGUGGGUAUAGGGGCGAAAGACUAAUCGA
Molecule: ribosomal RNA, 1269 nt
Filed under: Clinostomum complanatum
Lineage: Eukaryota; Metazoa; Platyhelminthes; Trematoda; Strigeidida; Clinostomidae
Description: partial large subunit ribosomal RNA
Rfam family: Eukaryotic large subunit ribosomal RNA
Source: RNAcentral